Populus trichocarpa (black cottonwood) is the source of this 2895-nucleotide long non-coding RNA. RefSeq lists it as uncharacterized. Lineage: Eukaryota; Viridiplantae; Streptophyta; Magnoliopsida; Malpighiales; Salicaceae. The record is from RefSeq and is a predicted model, not a curated record. The transcript has 2 exons.
GGCUUUAGUGCUUCCCUGCUGUUCAGGGCAAAAAGGGACUGCUUUUGUAUUCUCAGUGUUGCACUUCAACUAUAUAGUCCCCGUAGUUUUGUUUCAACUACCUGAAGUUUAUCUGGGCAUGAGAGGUGGUUGUACCAGCCCUGGAAAUGAUUCCUGGGUUGUAUUUACAUUGUCUGCGGUAAAGAUCUUGUCAGCUGUUAGCUGAAAAACAUGUUUGCUGGCUUUGACCUGUUAUUCUAGAGUUUCCUUUUCUAACUGUUAGACAGUGUUCAAUACUUCCAGGAGGUCUCGAGGUUGAGCUCCCUCUCGCUCCUUUCCUGGAUAUUAUUAAAAAAGAAAAAAAUGUGUUUCCUUGGCACUUUCCAAUUGUCAAUAUUCAAUGGAAGUUUCUAUUUCUAUGAAGAUUUUUUCAGUUGUUACUCAGCUAACUGGUUGAAAUAUUUUCUCACCAUUCUACGGUACCGGUACAAUGUUUCAUUCCAUAUUUAUUGUACUUCCAAGUUUAUUGUACUACACUGGAGUACUGAUUGUUCUAUCUGGAGGAGGUACCAUUGAUUAGUUUAUGCAUAUAUAUAGUAGUGCAACUAUGUUGUGCUUAUUGUUUCUUAUUUCAGCACUUGCAAAUCAAGGAAUUCGGAGAGCCAUGAAAAUAUGCAAUCAUUUCAUGCAUGUUUUUUUCUCUAGUUUGAUUUAGCUUAAAAUCUCUUGUAGCAUCUUGUGUCUUGUACGCUUCCAAAACCAUGUUAAAUUGAUGAAGCUGUUUUAUGAUACUGUAGGAUAUAACAAUGUCAAGUUUGGUUCAAAUGGAUGCAACCAAGUGACUAACUGAAAGUACAUCAAGUCAAGGUACAAUCUUAUUUCCUAUUACAUCUACUCUUUUUUCUUAUUGGUAUUCCUUGAUCUCCCUGCAAUCCAAUAACCACACACCAUGGAUCACAGUUCAUGAUCAGGGUGCCAUCGCCUUUCGUUAAAGGUUCAGGACCCCAUUCCAUUAGUGUUUGACUUGCACAGGCAAGGUGGUCAUCUUGCUCUAUGGAUGUAUGUUUCAGUGUUGAUUCACUGUCAUGUGCACGGUACCUGCUGCUCUAGUCCUAAUCAUAAUCGUCCCCAUAAUAAUAGCUAAGAAUCAGCCUGAAUGAGUCAGGUUUCUUUUGGGGUUGUUGUAUAGACUUGUCUAUCUGCAUUAAUCAUUGUGUGAUGGGCCAGCUUCUUAGUUGCUUAUUUAUGUGAAUUCAUUAGGUUAAUGCAUCUUGUCAUAUUCUCAAUGCCAUGUUAUCUCAUCUGCAAGCAUGAAAGGUUCUUUUCCUCCUUCAAAGCCCUGUGUGUUUCCUAGUCCCCACUUGUGGAAGUUGUCUCAUCUUUCUUACCACCAUCUUGGAUUCUUGACGUACUGACUGGAUUGGCUUUUGCGUGACAUCAUAAAUUGAUGAUCUGAAAGAAAUUGACCACGCAUAUUACACUUGCUGAGAAAGAAUCCAUGAUUCAAGAGAUCACAUCCAUCCAUCCAUCUUCAUUGUGCUAUUUAUUGAAAACUAGCAGCGGGGCAGAUCUGCUGGAGGAUGAGGGAGAGUCUCGAGGUGCCCAUUCCCAUUCUUCACUAUAAAAACCGUACCUAACCCCCACGACUGGUGUAUAUCCAAGUGACAAUGCAUAAACCAAACACCUAUAAUAAAAUUAUAUAAGAAGGCUGGUCAAGUAGAAGUUUUUUAAAAAGUAGUAGUAAUGGACUCAGAUAAAUUUUUUUUAAUCAAGUGAUAUGUUUGCUUAUAUGUGUCUUACCAGGAUUGUCAGCAACAAAUCGAAUGGCGGCCCAUCCACCCACUGGAACUCCGAUUGUGUUCAUGUAUGGUGGAUCAACUAAAUUUAGAUUUGCUGUCUGCGGAUUAUAGUUUCCUGCGCCAUAACCCACAACGUAGAAGCUAUAGCCAUGAAGAUGAAUAGGGUGAUUCUCAGUUGUUACCGUCCCAGUAUCCUGCAAGAUCAUUUGCACGCGGGUUCCGUAUUCAAGGACCUUGACCCUAGUCCCAUUCAUCGAGCUGGUGUCGUUAGGAGCGUUGUUCGGUGCCCCAUUGACGAAGUCAUAGAAUCUGAAGGGUGCCCCGGGAAAGUUAUCGGUGAAAAACCCGUCAAUUCCCUUAUAAUAAGCUUCCAAAACUGAAACUGUUGGCUUGAUGAAACUGAUAUUGUUCAUAGAAGCUGCCAUCGUCCCAUUAUUGAGGCCUUGGCAGUUCUGCUGUGGUGUCUUGGACCUACACUUGUUAACGUUCAUCCCAAUGGUAAGAAAGAGGUUAGUAUCAAUCUCUUUUGGAACAUCGGAAGUGUUUAGGCCUCUUAGGCCAUCCAUGACUGUCUUAACAGCCAAAUUGUCGUUAAAGCUGGGUAAUCUAGCUGGUAAAGAUAAGCUGUUAGGCAUUGCUCCCACGUACUGGAAGUACGCAAUUGCAGAUAUAUUCUGGAAUGCAACGUUUUGACCUGACGCAUAAGGUCCCAUGGCCAUGGAGUAUUUUCCAAUUGUCUGAUCAGCGGUAACUAGGACGAUCAUGGUCUGGCCUGGUCCGAGCAUCACACGGUCUGUGGUGAAAGGUUUUGUGUAUUCAGCAUCGGCUUCCACUAUUGUUAAUUUGUGAUUAGCAAUAGCGAAGAAGUUCUCCAUGUUUAAGCCUGCGUUUAUCAGCCUUAACAAGUAGGUCUUCCCAGGGAGCACAUCGAUCUUGUACACAUCUGAAAUGUAUUACGACUUUAUAGUUACCACGUAACAAAUUUAAAAGCAGGAUUAAUUGAAAUAUAGUAAUGAAAUAGUUAGUAGCUGAGCUGGUAAAAAAGAAUCGACGUGUUCGAUAUUCUUUUGUUUUCAAGACUUCCCCUCAACAUGAAUAUUUAAUAUUUUUCAGCGUA